UACGUAGGUCCCGAGCGUUGUCCGGAUUUACUGGGUGUAAAGGGGGCGCAGACGGCGAUGCAAGCCAGGAGUGAAAGCCCGGGGCCCAACCCCGGGACUGCUCUUGGAACUGCGUGGCUGGAGUGCAGGAGGGGCAGGCGGAAUUCCUGGUGUAGCGGUGAAAUGCGUAGAUAUCAGGAGGAACACCGGUGGCGAAGGCGGCCUGCUGGACUGCAACUGACGUUGAGGCCCGAAAGCGUGGGGAGCAAACAGG
RNAcentral lists this ribosomal RNA (253 nucleotides) under uncultured bacterium. Its description in RNAcentral is "partial 16S ribosomal RNA". It matches the Rfam family "Bacterial small subunit ribosomal RNA", at positions 524 to 776 of the family's 1533-position model. The record is from RNAcentral.